Long non-coding RNA from Oreochromis aureus, 455 nucleotides. The record is from Ensembl. Lineage: Eukaryota; Metazoa; Chordata; Actinopteri; Cichliformes; Cichlidae.
CAUGUUUCCAGGUCUGAUGAAGGCCUCUACAAGUGUGACAUCAGCGGUCAUGGAGAGUCUCCAUCCAGCUGGAUCACUGUCACAGUUGGCAUCCGGAGCCCACCUGCCAAGCCUCAUGAAUCUAACCGCCUGGAUCCUGGUUCGCACCUGAGGGAGACUUCCCUUCCAAACUGCCAGUGUCUCCUGCCUGCCUCCCUGUAUCACACGCAGUACUCACCUGGAUACCCGCCUCACGCCAUUCCCCUCCAAACAACCUCCACCUGCAAACAUUGCCCUGGCCAGCCAUAGCUUCCCGCCCCCAGUCUCUGCACCCAGUUGUCACAGUGACUUUUCUUACUUUAGUAAUCGUUAUAGCCGCCUCUGCCUCAGACGUCAAGUUUAUGUUUAUUCUAAAUAAUCGUCUGAGUUUUCAGUUGCUAACACAGCGUUGUGAAUAAAGUUUUGUUUUGCACCGC